AGGGAGGGGGCUGUGGCCCAUCAGCUUGUUGGUAGGGUAACGGCCUACCAAGCCGACGACGGGUAGCCGGUCUGAGAGGAUGGCCGGCCACAAGGGCACUGAGAGACGGGCCCUACUCCUACGGGAGGCAGCAGUGGGGGAUUUUGGACAAUGGGCGAAAGCCUGAUCCAGCGACGCCGCGUGGAGGACGAAGCCCUUCGGGGUGUAAACUCCUUUUCUCAGGGAAAAAGGAUGAUGGUACCUGAGGAAUAAGCCCCGGCUAACUACGUGCCAGCAGCCGCGGUAAUACGUAGGGGGCGAGCGUUACCCGGAAUUACUGGGCGUAAAGGGUGCGUAGGCGGCCUUGCAAGUCCGGUGUUAAAAGCCCUGGCUCAACUAGGGAGAUGCGCUGGAAACUGUGAGGCUUGGGUGCAGCAGAGGCAGAUGGAACUGCUGGUGUAGGGGUGAAAUCCGUAGAUAUCAGCAGGAACGCCGGUGGAGAAGUCGGUCUGCUGGGCUGCGACCGACGCUGAGGCACGAAAGCUAGGGGAGCGAACCGGAUUAGAUACCCGGGUAGUCCUAGCCGUAAACGAUGCUCACUUGGUGUGGGGGCAUAGAGCCUCUGUGCUGAAGCGAACGCGUUAAGUGAGCCGCCUGGGGAGUAUGCCCGCAAGGGUGAAACUCAAAGGAAUUGACGGGGGCCCGCACAAGCAGUGGAGCGUGUGGUUUAAUUGGAAGCUAAGCCAAGAACCUUACCAGGGUUUGACAUGCUGGUGGUACGGACUCGAAAGAGGAAGGACCUUAUCGAAAGAUGAGGAGCCAGCACAGGUGGUGCACGGUCGUCGUCAGCUCGUGCCGUGAGGUGUUGGGUUAAGUCCCGCAACGAGCGCAACCCCUACUCUUAGUUACCAGCACGAAAGGUGGGGACUCUAAGAGGACCGCCGGCGACGAGCCGGAGGAAGGAGGGGAUGACGUCAGAUACUCGUGCCCCUUAUGCUCUGGGCGACACACGCGCUACAAUGGUAUGGACAACGGGAAGCCAGGUAGCGAUACUGAGCAAAACCCUAAAACCAUACCGCAGUUCAGAUUGUGGGCUGAAACCCGCCCACAUGAAGCUGGAAUUGCUAGUAAUCGCGGAUCAGCCACGCCGCGGUGAAUACGUUCCCGGGCCU
RNAcentral lists this ribosomal RNA (1151 nucleotides) under uncultured bacterium. RNAcentral describes it as "bacterial SSU rRNA". It matches the Rfam family "Bacterial small subunit ribosomal RNA", at positions 221 to 1381 of the family's 1533-position model. The record is from RNAcentral.